This is a long non-coding RNA of Patella vulgata (common limpet), 1877 nucleotides long. RefSeq lists it as uncharacterized. The transcript has 4 exons. NCBI's taxonomy places the organism in Eukaryota, Metazoa, Mollusca, Gastropoda, Patellidae. The record is from RefSeq and is a predicted model, not a curated record.
UUCUCCGUGAAGAGUCCAACUUUCUGCAGAGAAAAUUUUCACUGCGCGGGUCACCCUAGGUCUGUGGAAUACAAUUACUGGGUGUUACUGAGCGACGUUUCUAUGGACGUGCUCUGGCUUUAUUUUUUGGUGUCCUACUUUUUCAUUUAUUGAUUUUAUAGAAAUGUGAAACUAUUGUCACAUAUUGUUGUCUCACAUGCAAAUGAAUCUUUCCUUCAUGUGUAUCACUACACACUAGUUUAUUUAUUGAAUAGAUACCAAUACACACUGUAGACCAUCAUAUACAGUCGCUGUUGUAUUGUAAGCAGAUCGUACUCAUUGGAGAGUAUUUGGCGUAUUUGUAAUUCCAUGCUUGGCUAACUUUAUUCAAACCGGUCCCAAACGAUUUGUUUGUGAGUGAAAACUACUCAGUGACAGAAGUGGUCAUCUUUGAUUCUGACAGUUGACGUGAGAGUAAUACAGUCAAUUUUAAGCAACCAAAGAAAUCACAAAGUUCUGUGGUGAGGGUUUUAGAAAUCUCCGAUUUAAAUAGUAUAGAUGGCUCAGCAGAAUACCAUGCCCCAUCUUAAUAACCAGUCCAGAUUGCUAUCAGUGACAGACAAGAAUACUGAAUACGAAAUUAUGUUCAAACGAGAAGGUGGAGCUACAAAUCUCGAUUCAAUUAAGUCUAGAGAAUCUAGAACACCAGAACAAAAUGCUAAAACAUAUGAUGAAUGGGUUAUUAAAGGAACAUAUGAACAGGAUACUGCAAGCCUGUGCUAUUCAGGUCCCCAGGUAACUGCCGAUACUGUUGCAAUGGUGUUCCCGAAGAACAAAGAAAAGAUCCGAAUCCUGGACAUGGCAGCUGGUACUGGAUUAGUUGCCAUUAGGGUAAGUUAUAUUAUUUCUUUCGCAUUUCAUUUUAUAAAGUAUACUAGUGUGUAUACUACAGCUAUUAAAAUCUGCCUACGACGGUGCAUGGUCAUAAUAGUAAUCAUAUUUUUUUUAUCGGAAUAAGUCCAAGAAAAUGCCGAUACAGAUCUAGAUUUGGAGACAAUGUGUUAUUUAUUUAUGGUAUAUAUUGAAUAUUUCGAAACGAAACGGUGGGGUUGUUUUAAGGGUGUAUUUGUCUAGUCCGUAGGAUUAGAUAGAUCCCCGGGACCUGCAAAAACUGUGUAGAACUCUGACCUUACAGAGAUCCUGUGGAAUUGACUAAAAUGAGUCGAAAGGGGAUGAAAAUCAAGUUCACGUGAUGUGAGUAAACCGGAAACCUAUCCAUACAGAAAACCUAUACAUAUUAUGGACAACUUAUUUAUACCGAAAACCUAGCCAUACCGACAACCAUUUACUUAAGAAAGAUUUGACAGUAUGACAGAGUAUUUUAACAGAGCUCCCUUUGAUGUUGACGCUAGUUGAACCAAUUCAGCAAAUUAUCAUUUAUAUUGAUAUUGUGAUACCAAAUCUUUAUUUUUUUAUUUUUGUAAUAAUGAACACCUAUUUCACAAUAUAAUACUAGCAUGGAAGAUGGGAUUGAUUUCAGUGAACCCCGGAGGAACCGGAAGAACUCACCUGAUCGGAUAUGACCCUACGGGGACAGGUAAUUCUAUCUAAAAAAAAAACGCGGGACAGAUUCUCCAUUGCAGCUAUUUGUCCAUUCGGUUUUUAUGUUUUACAUUUCCUUAAUAUUUAAUAUUUCAAUUUUUUAAAUUAAUAUUCUACAACUUAAUUUGCUCUUAUGUUUUACAUUUCCUUAAUAUUUAAUAUUUCAAUUUUUUAAAUUAAUAUUCUACAACUUAAUUUGCUCUUUCUCACGUCUACUAAGCUAAAUCUUUAAACUUUUACUUUAGCUAAUAACCAAUGCUCUGUAUGAUUUAUAUCAUACCGUUAUUUAAUGAGAC